This 529-nucleotide ribosomal RNA is filed under the name Salmonella enterica subsp. enterica serovar Durham. RNAcentral describes it as "partial 23S ribosomal RNA". It matches the Rfam family "Bacterial large subunit ribosomal RNA", at positions 2238 to 2766 of the family's 2925-position model. The record is from RNAcentral. Lineage: Bacteria; Pseudomonadati; Pseudomonadota; Gammaproteobacteria; Enterobacterales; Enterobacteriaceae.
ACCCGGGUUGCGGACAGUGUCUGGUGGGUAGUUUGACUGGGGCGGUCUCCUCCUAAAGAGUAACGGAGGAGCACGAAGGUUGGCUAAUCCUGGUCGGACAUCAGGAGGUUAGUGCAAUGGCAUAAGCCAGCUUGACUGCGAGCGUGACGGCGCGAGCAGGUGCGAAAGCAGGUCAUAGUGAUCCGGUGGUUCUGAAUGGAAGGGCCAUCGCUCAACGGAUAAAAGGUACUCCGGGGAUAACAGGCUGAUACCGCCCAAGAGUUCAUAUCGACGGCGGUGUUUGGCACCUCGAUGUCGGCUCAUCACAUCCUGGGGCUGAAGUAGGUCCCAAGGGUAUGGCUGUUCGCCAUUUAAAGUGGUACGCGAGCUGGGUUUAGAACGUCGUGAGACAGUUCGGUCCCUAUCUGCCGUGGGCGCUGGAGAACUGAGGGGGGCUGCUCCUAGUACGAGAGGACCGGAGUGGACGCAUCACUGGUGUUCGGGUUGUCAUGCCAAUGGCACUGCCCGGUAGCUAAAUGCGGAAGAGAUA